RNAcentral lists this ribosomal RNA (478 nucleotides) under uncultured bacterium. Its description in RNAcentral is "partial 16S ribosomal RNA". It matches the Rfam family "Bacterial small subunit ribosomal RNA", at positions 28 to 507 of the family's 1533-position model. The record is from RNAcentral.
GACGAACGCUGGCGGCGUGCUUAACACAUGCAAGUCGAACGGGAUUUAGUAAACAGAAACCUCGGUGGAAGAUUACUAAUGAGAGUGGCGAACGGGUGAGUAACGCGUGAGCAACCUGCCUAUGACAGUGGGAUAGCCUCGGGAAACCGGGAUUAAUACCACAUAAAAUCGUAGAAACACAUGUUUUAACGGUCAAAGAUUUAUCGGUCAUAGAUGGGCUCGCGUCUGAUUAGCUAGUUGGUGAGAUAACAGCCCACCAAGGCGACGAUCAGUAGCCGGUCUGAGAGGAUGAACGGCCACAUUGGAACUGAGACACGGUCCAAACUCCUACGGGAGGCAGCAGUGGGGAAUAUUGCACAAUGGGGGAAACCCUGAUGCAGCGACGCCGCGUGAACGAAGAAGGUAUUCGUAUCGUAAAGUUCUGUCCUAUGGGAAGAUAAUGACAGUACCAUAGAAGAAAGCUCCGGCUAAAUACGUG